RNAcentral lists this ribosomal RNA (449 nucleotides) under uncultured bacterium. RNAcentral describes it as "partial 16S ribosomal RNA". It matches the Rfam family "Bacterial small subunit ribosomal RNA", at positions 29 to 523 of the family's 1533-position model. The record is from RNAcentral.
AACGAACGCUGGCGGCAUGCCUAACACAUGCAAGUCGAACGAGAUCUUCGGGUCUAGUGGCGCACGGGUGCGUAACGCGUGGGAAUCUGCCCUUUGGCUCGGAAUAACAGUUGGAAACGACUGCUAAUACCGGAUGAUGACGAAAGUCCAAAGAUUUAUCGCCAGAGGAUGAGCCCGCGUAGGAUUAGCUAGUUGGUGUGGUAAGGGCGCACCAAGGCGACGAUCCUUAGCUGGUCUGAGAGGAUGAUCAGCCACACUGGGACUGAGACACGGCCCAGACUCCUACGGGAGGCAGCAGUGGGGAAUAUUGGACAAUGGGCGAAAGCCUGAUCCAGCAAUGCCGCGUGAGUGAUGAAGGCCUUAGGGUUGUAAAGCUCUUUUACCCGGGAUGAUAAUGACAGUACCGGGAGAAUAAGCUCCGGCUAACUCCGUGCCAGCAGCCGCCGCAG